This 4511-nucleotide long non-coding RNA is filed under the name Nicotiana tabacum (common tobacco). RNAcentral describes it as "long non-coding RNA (NTAB_LNC010152)". Lineage: Eukaryota; Viridiplantae; Streptophyta; Magnoliopsida; Solanales; Solanaceae. The record is from RNAcentral.
GUAAAUCAAAUUUCAGAAAAGGGAAGAUGAAUAAUGAGAAUAACAAAAAUGACGGAAGAUGCUAUGAGUGUGGAAAACAUGGGCACAUUCUAGCUGAAUGCCUUUAGCUGAAAAAGAAACUAAGUAGAAAUUUCCAAAAGAAGAAAUCAUUUGGAGCUUGGAGUGAUGAAGAGUAAUCUGAUCAUGGGGAUAUUGCCAACAUGUGUUUCACGGUUAUCAAAGAAGAUAGUGAUGAAGACUCAUGUGAGCUUGGUCUCAUGGCAGACAAAGGAACAAGUAAGGUACGUCUUCCUACAUGUCCUAGUUGUCACGAACUUCAAGAAUUUAUUAAUAUUGCUCUUGCAAACAUUGAGAAAAUUCUAAAUGAACUUCGAAAAAUCCAAAUAGAAAAGAAAGACUAGGCUCUGAAAUUAGAAGUUUGUGAAAUUGAGAGAGAUAUGCUUCAAGAUGUAGUCAAUGAACUUUAACUUCAACUAAAUAUAUUGCAAAAAUCCACCAAUCAUAGCUAAGUCAGAUCAAAUCAGUCUGCUCCGCGUAAUUUUACACUUAGAACCAGAAAUCACUCUGCAUGCACUCAUUGUGGCAAAAAUGGUCACACCUCUAACCAUUGCAGGUUUAGAAUUAGAGGAGAAAAAGCUUCUGAAAAUUCCAAUAACCUCUCCAAUUUUUAUUGUGAAAAACCUGGUCAUACAUUUAACCAUUACAGGUUUAAGAACAACAGAAGAUGGGUCUGGCGACCUAAGUUCUCUAGUCAAGCUAAUAUUCAGAGCACUAACUAUAUAGGACACAAGAAGGCUUGGGUACCUAAAAACAAGUAAUUUGUUUUUGUAGGAUCACCGCAAGAAGAAUCGAAAAGGGAAAUAAUAUCUUGAUAGUGCGUGUUCUAGAUAUAUGACAGGUUACAAACAAAUUUUCAAAUAUGUCACCAAACUAAAUGGUGGAUCAGUCACCUUUGGAGACAAAUCAAAAGGAAAUAUAAUUGGAGUUGGAGGAGUCCCUCUCAGCUAAUCAUGUGAUGUAGAUGAAGUAUACCUGGUAGAUGAACUUGGCUACAACCUAUUCAAUAUCAGUCAACUAUGUGACAAUGACUAUGAGGUUCAUUUUAAAAAGUAUGGUUGGUUUAUUGAAGAUGAAUCAAAUAAAGUUAUUCUUUUUGGAAAUAGAGAUAAGAAUGUCUACACCCUUAGUAAUAUAGAUAGUCUUGGAAAUCAGAUUUGUCUAGCCUCUAUAAUUGAUGAUCCUUGGGUUUGGCAUAGAAAAUUUGGUCAUGCUAGCAUGCAUACUAUUCAUAAACUUUUCAAACAUGGUCUUUCAUUGGUCUUCCAAAUUAGAUUUUUCAAAAGAUCAAAUUUGUGAUGCAUGUCAAUUAAGAAAACAAAUCAGGUCCUCUUUUAAGGUUAAAAACAUAGUUUCUACUACAAAACCUCUUCAACUCUUACAUAUGGACCUCUUUGGUCCAACUAGAAAUGCUAGUAUAAGUGGUAGAAAAUAUGUCUUUGUUAUAGUAGAUGAAUUUUCUCGAUUUACCUGGGGUAUUUUUCUGAGUCAUAAAGAUGAAGCAUUAAGGAAUUUUGAAGUCUUCUGCAAGAAGGUACAACGGAAAAAAGGUUACUUCAUGUUUUCCAUAAGAAGUGACCAUGGAGGAGAAUUUGAAAGCAAAGCAUUUGAAAACAUCUUCAAUGUCAAGGGAUCUCCCACAAUUUUUCAUCUUCAAGAUCGCCUCAACAAAAUGGAGCAGUAGAACGCAAAAAUAGAACCUAGUAAGAUAUGGCAAGAACUAUGAUCGUGAAAAACUCCCUUUCAUACCACUUAUGGGUAGAAGUUGUAAGCACAACAUGUCACAUCAUCAACAGAUAUUUAAUUUGACCUAUUCUCAAAAAGACUCCAUAUGAACUAUGGAAAGGUACAAGAUCCAACAUAAGUUAUUUCCAUCAUUUUGGUUCCAAAUAUUUCAUUCUCAACAAUGGAAAAGACAAUCUUAGUAAGUUUUAUCCCAAAAAUGAUGAAGGUAUUUUUCUUGGAUACUAUCCCUCUAGUAGAGCAUAUAGAGUUUUUCAUUAACGUGUUCUUUCUAUUGAAGAAUCUACACAUUUAUUUUUGUAGACACUAACCUUCACUUAAGGAAUGAAAAAUUUUCUGAAGAUGAGGAAAUUUUCAUAGUUCCAAAGUCUAUCAAUACAGGUGAAAACACUUGUGAUGAGGUGACUGAUCAGCAAGAUCAGUCAACAAACAGUCGCGUAGAUAACAAGGAACUUCCUACAAUUGAACAGUCGAGUGCUAUUGAAAAUGAGCUAGUAUCAGUCGUCCAAAUGAAUGGAAAAGUGAUACUAGAUAUCUACAUAAGUACAUCAUUGGAAAUCCUCAGAAAGGCAUCGCUAAAGCAGACAUAAAAUAUUGCCCUCAUGUCUUAGUUCGAACCAAAAAAGGUGGAUGAGGCCCUUAGGGACGAAAGCCGGAUAACUGUAAUGAAGGAAGAGCUUGACCAAUUUGAGAAAAAUAAAGUAUGGGAGCUCAUUCCUAAACCUCCAAAUGCAUCCAUUGUUGGAAUAAAAUGGGUGUACAGAAAUAAAUUGAAUGAGUCUGGACAAGUGGUACGAAAUAAAGCUAGACUGGUUGCUCAAGGCUGUCACAUCUCCUUUUUCACACUCCCGGAAGGGUAUAAGGGAGUUUUUUCCAAUUUAAGUGACAAUCGAAACGAGAUUAUUUAUUUAAAAUUAGAGUCGCCACUUGAGAUAGUUUAUUAGUGUCUCAAGUCACUGAUUUAAAAUCCCGAAUCGAGGAAGUUUGACUCUAUUUACGGUCCGCGAACACAGAAAUCCGGGUAAGGAACUCUGUUAACCCGAGAGAAGGUGUUAGGCAUUCCCGAGUUCCGUGGUUCUAGCACGGUCGCUCAACUAUUAUUAUUGGCCUAAUUAUCUGAUUGAUUACAUAUUUUAAACCUACGUGCAUUUUUGACUUUAAAACCGCUUUUAUUUAUUUAAGGAAUUAUUUCAAAGUUAUUUAAACACACAUCGCAAACCACGUUAUAUGAAAUGUACCCGUGAUUCACGACACGUCCUAUUUAACCUUGUUGGAAAUUAGACCCGGGUCACAUGAAAUGUACACCCGGACUUUAGUAGUAGCCAUGGUAAUUAUAUAAUUAAUGCGCCUAAAGCAAACUACGAAAUUUAUUUUGUUAAUAUCUAAGUUAUAAGAUUAAUGAGGGCCAUAGGUUCUACGAUUGAAAUGUAUGAAUGACGCGCCUCAGAAAAACUAUUCAACUAAACGAAAUACGGAUAUUCAUGUUUAAACGGAUUUGAGCUUAAGUACCACAACCACCCCAUGGGGACUGUAUCCACAGUUGGGAUGAUUUAGUACAUACUUAAAACUAACUAGGAGCUCACGUUGGAACAGGGAUCCAAUGCACGACGCGGGAAUCUAUAAAUCAUGAAUUUACUUGGGAAAGAAUGACUUUCAACACCUUUCAGAGAUGCGAUAUUUCUGAAUUUUAACAAUAGCACAGUAUAAUCAAAACAAUGCCUUAAAGGACAAAAACGUAGUACGAAAUGGGUGUGAUAAUAUAGAUCCAUUUUAACGAGCCUAACUAAAAUACAUGGUCUAAUGAAUUAACAGAAUAGGAAUCAAAGGGGUUGGACAUGAAAUAAAGUCAUGACAAAUAAAGAAAUGGGCCAAAGACUUGGGGGUCAGAUGGCCACCAACGGAUAGGCUUCAAAGGCCCAAAUAACCCUUGGAGCUUGGGUCAUUCCUUAUAUGGGCCCUUUUAUCAUCUUUGACUCAACCACAACAUCAAAGCAUUAAUAUGCAUCUGGGAUCUCAACAACACAAAUGGCAUUUGCAAAUCACGUUCCAAAUUUUCAAUACAACUACACCUGAUAUUGAUUUAACAUGACCAUCUGCGGAUAAAAGUGUGGAGAUCCAACUUUCAAUUUUUCAUGGACUUGGACUUAGUCCACACGGGCCAAAACAUGGUUGAGAAUACACAGGUUGACCAAACAAACUAGCCCAACAUAAUUAAAUAUUUUCAACAAGUGUAGAUGCCAAAGCGUUUCAACUAAAGAACAUCUAACUAUUUACUAUCCAGAAUUGGUAAAUUCAGUUGAUAACCCAAACUUGCAUAUAACUAAAUUUAUCAUCUAAUAAUUGGAAUCACAACAUAAUAACUUGAAGAUUAAACAUUACACAAAAGAUUAUAAGUUAAACUCGAUUGAUGCAUCAACCUCAACACACAUACAUCUUCAAACUCAUUUUUGCAACCCAAGGAUUUAAAGAGGGUACCUGGAUUCAGAAAACGAAAGCAAAUGAAUUCAAAGUCAGCUACUGGCAGCUAACAAAUAACAGGUUCAGCAACAGUAAAAAAAAUCACACAACAGCUUCUUAGUCAAGUCAUGCUUCAGCUUCAAGAAACCAACAAACCCAGAAAGAAUAUUUCCAAAAGAAACUUUUGCCCAGAAAAAAGAUGAAAGCUCAGAAUUGAAUUCAGCAGAACUCCCUUAGCCAUUUUCUAUUUUUUG